CGGGAUGAUGACUUUGCCGAGUGCUGAGCUGGUGAUGAGUAAACAGUCGUCUGAC
Molecule: non-coding RNA, 55 nt
Organism: Pyrococcus horikoshii OT3
Lineage: Archaea; Methanobacteriati; Methanobacteriota; Thermococci; Thermococcales; Thermococcaceae
Source: Rfam